RNAcentral lists this ribosomal RNA (371 nucleotides) under Pseudoboa coronata. Its description in RNAcentral is "partial 16S ribosomal RNA". It matches the Rfam family "Bacterial large subunit ribosomal RNA", at positions 1970 to 2557 of the family's 2925-position model. Lineage: Eukaryota; Metazoa; Chordata; Lepidosauria; Squamata; Dipsadidae. The record is from RNAcentral.
CGUCUAUUAAUUGUAGACCAGUAUGAAAGGCAACAUGAGGGCCUAACUGUCUCUUGUAAUAAAUCAAUUAAACUGAUCUUCUAGUAAAAAAGCUAGAAUCUUUCCAUAAGACCAGAAGACCCUGUGAAGCUUAAACUAAACUAUUAAAACAUAUAAUAACUACUUUCGGUUGGGGCGACCCUGGAAAAAAAAAGAACUUCCAACAAUAACAUAUCAAACUACACAGGCCCACAAGCCACAUACCAGUGACCCAGCACAGCUGAUCAUUGAACCAAGUUACUCCAGGGAUAACAGCGCCAUCUUCUUUAAGAGCCCAUAUCAAAAAGAAGGUUUACGACCUCGAUGUUGGAUCAGGACAUCCUAAUGGCGCA